RNAcentral lists this ribosomal RNA (506 nucleotides) under uncultured bacterium. RNAcentral's name for it is "partial 16S ribosomal RNA". It matches the Rfam family "Bacterial small subunit ribosomal RNA", at positions 29 to 523 of the family's 1533-position model. The record is from RNAcentral.
AGUGAACGCUGGCGGUAGGCCUAACACAUGCAAGUCGAACGGCAGCACAGGAGAGCUUGCUCUCUGGGUGGCGAGUGGCGGACGGGUGGGGAAUACAUCGGAAUCUACUCUGUCGUGGGGGAUAACGUAGGGAAACUUACGCUAAUACCGCAUACGACCUACGGGUGAAAGUAGGGGACCUUCGGGCCUUGCGCGAUUGAAUGAGCCGAUGUCGGAUUAGCUAGUUGGCGGGGUAAAGGCCCACCAAGGCGACGAUCCGUAGCUGGUCUGAGAGGAUGAUCAGCCACACCGGAACUGAGACACGGUCCAGACUCCUACGGGAGGCAGCAGUGGGGAAUAUUGGACAAUGGGCGCAAGCCUGAUCCAGCCAUACCGCGUGGGUGAAGAAGGCCUUCGGGUUGUAAAGCCCUUUUGUUGGGAAAGAAAUCCAGCUGGCUAAUACCCGGUUGGGAUGACGGUACCCAAAGAAUAAGCACCGGCUAACUUCGUGCCAGCAGCCGCCGUAA